GAGUUUGAUCCUGGCUCAGAUUGAACGCUGGCGGCAGGCCUAACACAUGCAAGUCGAACGGUAACAGGAAGAAGCUUGCUUCUUUGCUGACGAGUGGCGGACGGGUGAGUAAUGUCUGGGAAACUGCCUGAUGGAGGGGGAUAACUACUGGGAACGGUAGCUAAUACCGCAUAACGUCGCAAGACCAAAGAGGGGGACCUUCGGGCCUCUUGCCAUCGGAUGUGCCCAGAUGGGAUUAGCUAGUAGGUGGGGUAACGGCUCACCUAGGCGACGAUCCCUAGCUGGUCUGAGAGGAUGACCAGCCACACUGGAACUGAGACACGGUCCAGGCUCCUACGGGAGGCAGCAGUGGGGAAUAUUGCACAAUGGGCGCAAGCCUGAUGCAGCCAUGCCGCGUGUAUGAAGAAGGCCUUCGGGUUGUAAAGUACUUUCAGCGGGGAGGAAGGGAGUAAAGUUAAUACCUUUGCUCAUUGACGUUACCCGCAGAAGAAGCACCGG
Molecule: ribosomal RNA, 498 nt
Filed under: uncultured bacterium
Lineage: Bacteria
Description: bacterial SSU rRNA
Rfam family: Bacterial small subunit ribosomal RNA
Source: RNAcentral